Molecule: unclassified non-coding RNA, 234 nt
Filed under: plant metagenome
Description: partial contains small subunit ribosomal RNA, internal transcribed spacer 1, and 5.8S ribosomal RNA
Source: RNAcentral
UUUCCGUAGGUGAACCUGCGGAAGGAUCAUUACUGAGUGAGGGCCCUCUGGGUCCAACCUCCCACCCGUGUUUAUUGUACCUUGUUGCUUCGGUGAGCCCGCCUCACGGCCGCCGGGGGGCAUCUGCCCCCGGGCCCGCGCUCGCCGAAGACACCCUUGAACUAUGUCUGAAGUUUGCAGUCUGAGAGAAAACUAAAUAAGUUAAAACUUUCAACAACGGAUCUCUUGGUUCCG